Molecule: ribosomal RNA, 250 nt
Filed under: uncultured bacterium
Lineage: Bacteria
Description: partial 16S ribosomal RNA
Rfam family: Bacterial small subunit ribosomal RNA
Source: RNAcentral
UACGUAGGGAGCGAGCGUUGUCCGGAUUUAUUGGGCGUAAAGGGCGUGUAGGCGGCUUUUUAAGUCCGAAGUGAAAUUCCAGGGCUCAACCCUGGACCUGCUUCGGAUACUGGGAAGCUUGAGUGCUCUAGAGGGCAGUGGAAUUCCGGGUGUAGCAGUGAAAUGCGUAGAGAUCCGGAGGAACACCAGUGGCGAAGGCGACUGCCUGGGGAGUAACUGACGCUGAGGCGCGAAAGCUGGGGGAGCAAAC